Molecule: ribosomal RNA, 520 nt
Filed under: uncultured bacterium
Lineage: Bacteria
Description: partial 16S ribosomal RNA
Rfam family: Bacterial small subunit ribosomal RNA
Source: RNAcentral
UGGGGAAUUUUGGACAAUGGGCGCAAGCCUGAUCCAGCCAUGCCGCGUGCGGGAAGAAGGCCUUCGGGUUGUAAACCGCUUUUGUCAGGGAAGAAAUCUUCUGAGUUAAUACCUCGGGAGGAUGACGGUACCUGAAGAAUAAGCACCGGCUAACUACGUGCCAGCAGCCGCGGUAAUACGUAGGGUGCAAGCGUUAAUCGGAAUUACUGGGCGUAAAGCGUGCGCAGGCGGUUUUGUAAGACAGAGGUGAAAUCCCCGGGCUCAACCUGGGAACUGCCUUUGUGACUGCAAGGCUUGAGUGCGGCAGAGGGGGGAUGGAAUUCCGCGUGUAGCAGUGAAAUGCGUAGAUAUGCGGAGGAACACCGAUGGCGAAGGCAAUCCCCUGGGCCUGCACUGACGCUCAUGCACGAAAGCGUGGGGAGCAAACAGGAUUAGAUACCCUGGUAGUCCACGCCCUAAACGAUGUCAACUGGUUGUUGGGAAGGUUCCUUCUCAGUAACGUAGCUAACGCGUGAAGUUG